ACGCCGAUGGUGAAGUGGUAUCAUGAGUUAUGGGUGAUGAUUACUUGCAGAACAGUGGUGAUGUUCUGAGUAAUCAUCACUCCGUAAUAGACACGGGUUCGAUUCCUGUUCGGUGUA
Molecule: non-coding RNA, 117 nt
Organism: Russula vinacea
Lineage: Eukaryota; Fungi; Basidiomycota; Agaricomycetes; Russulales; Russulaceae
Source: the annotation of a GenBank genome assembly